RNAcentral lists this ribosomal RNA (264 nucleotides) under uncultured bacterium. RNAcentral's name for it is "partial 16S ribosomal RNA". It matches the Rfam family "Bacterial small subunit ribosomal RNA", at positions 524 to 787 of the family's 1533-position model. The record is from RNAcentral.
UACGAAGGGGGCUAGCGUUGCUCGGAAUCACUGGGCGUAAAGCGCACGUAGGCGGCUUUUUAAGUCAGGGGUGAAAUCCCGGAGCUCAACUCCGGAACUGCCCUUGAUACUGAGAAGCUCGAGUUCGGGAGAGGUGAGUGGAACUGCGAGUGUAGAGGUGAAAUUCGUAGAUAUUCGCAAGAACACCAGUGGCGAAGGCGGCUCACUGGCCCGAUACUGACGCUGAGGUGCGAAAGCGUGGGGAGCAAACAGGAUUAGAUACCC